AAAAGUGAUAGAGGAGCAAAACUUAUUAGUAAGAGCUUGGAGAAGAAUGAGUUUCAAUGAAAAGCUAUGAAAGGAAGUUUUGCCGAAGUGGAAAUUGGCUCAUUUCAGUUUCUGCUGGUUCUGCAUUGAAUAAAUGCAGGAUUGUCAAGAUGUGUGAGCAUCUUGGAGAGCUAUCUCGCGG
This 181-nucleotide non-coding RNA is filed under the name Heyndrickxia shackletonii. Its description in RNAcentral is "Bacillus shackletonii Lysine sequence". It matches the Rfam family "Lysine riboswitch aptamer". From Rfam's summary of the family: Riboswitches are metabolite binding domains within certain messenger RNAs that serve as precision sensors for their corresponding targets. Allosteric rearrangement of mRNA structure is mediated by ligand binding, and this results in modulation of gene expression. This family includes riboswitches that sense lysine in a number of genes involved in lysine metabolism, including lysC. Lineage: Bacteria; Bacillati; Bacillota; Bacilli; Caryophanales; Bacillaceae. The record is from Rfam by way of RNAcentral.